AGUCAUGAAUGCAUCUUGUUGAAAACAGUCUCCACUACAGACACAGCUUUGUGCACACUCAUAAGUGUCCAUCAUCGAUGCAGUAACGGUGAAAAGUCUGAGUGUAAGAAAUACAGCUGCAUGUUCAGGCAGACUGUAAAAACAGCCU
Thalassophryne amazonica is the source of this 148-nucleotide long non-coding RNA. RefSeq lists it as uncharacterized. NCBI's taxonomy places the organism in Eukaryota, Metazoa, Chordata, Actinopteri, Batrachoidiformes, Batrachoididae. The transcript has 3 exons. The record is from RefSeq and is a predicted model, not a curated record.